This 2111-nucleotide long non-coding RNA is filed under the name Homo sapiens (human). RNAcentral describes it as "HSALNT0206448". The record is from RNAcentral. Lineage: Eukaryota; Metazoa; Chordata; Mammalia; Primates; Hominidae.
CCGCUUUUUAUUCUUUAAAAAGUUUUGAUUUAUUUUUAUUACACAUAAUAGAUGUACAUAUUUUCAGGGUACAUGUGAUAAUUGAAUACAUUCAUAUAAUGUGUAAAGAUCAAAUCAGUGUAAUUGGCAUAUCCAUCACCUUAAAUUGUCUUUUCUUUAUGCUAGGAACAUUCUAAUUAUUAUCUUCUAGCUAUUUUGAAAUAUACAAUAAAUUAGUAUUAACCAACUGCAGUUAACCUACGGAGAUCACUUUUCUUCAAAAACAUUUUCUUGACUUUUCUGUGUGUUUUAUCUAUUGUUGUACAUUAAUCUAUUGCAAAAGUUAGUGGCUUAAAGUCACAUGAUUUCUCUGGAUUCUGUGGGUCUGGAAUCCAGGCAGGAUCAGAACCUCUGCUCACUGUGUUCUCAGCUGGGCUGGCUGAUUCACUGCAUUCAGCUGAGUGUUGGGCAGAGCUGGAAGGUUCAGGCAGGCCUUACCCACCUGUCUGGCACCUCAGUGUCCCCCCCUUUGUGUAGCCAGCUUGGACUUCUCACAGCUGGUUACUGGGUAGGCAGGCUUCUUGCAUGGUGACUGGCUUCUAAGAAGUAGGAAACAGAAGGCUUAAAGUCUAGGCUUGGAACAAGUCCAACUUCACCACUGUUACAUUUCACUGUUGAAAGCAAGGUAUGAGGCCAGUCGAAAUACAAGGGAGGAGAAAAAAGGCCCUACCUUUGGUCAUGGGGUGCAGCAUGUACACAAAGAAAGGUAAGGAAUUGAUGGCCGCCGUCUUGGUUGACUGGCUACCACCCAGUGUGUUUCUGCAACAAUAAACCUCGCCAACCAAGGUAUCUUGAGCACAUCUCUAUUCCUUGCAAUUCUACAGUGUCUGUCUAAGCCAUUAGCUCCCUUAGCUGGUCAUCCUUCCUCAUGACCAACACCUAUUCACUGGAGCCCUAAUACAUGCAAACAUUCUGGGGAGGAUCCACCAGCCAGAAAAAGAUCAUGCUCUAGUUAGGGAUAUAUGAAUACAAAGAUUUAAAAAAAUUCUACGAGCUAGCUUUUGAACGACAAAGCCUAAAAGUAGGGAAGGAAGGAACAAAAAAAAAGAUGAGAAUAAAUUGAAAAGAUAUAAAGUGAAAGUUUCCCAAGAGAAAGCUAGGAGGAUAUCUCAUUGUUUAUCUAAUGUGUAUUAGGGAAAGCUCUUUUUGAAUUGCUUUUCAAGAGAAUGAAUUUCUUAAGAGACCGAGAAGGUAGGACUCAUUUCUUUUGAGGCUGAUCAAUACGAGUCUCAUAGAUUCAGUCACUUGCUGAUUCUUGCUUCAGAGUGCCUUCUAAGGCCACCCCUAUUCUUGGUAGUGGGGGAACCCUGCGAGUAAUACAAGUUGUAACAGGUCCAUUCUCACACAUUGUAUUGGAAGUUCCGAAGGAAGGCACUUUUCUUCUGUUAUGGACUUGGCUAAAUCAAUGGAAACUCCAUAUUCUUUGUCUUCAUUCUUCUUUCCUCGCCACUUCCUGCAAUAUCCCAGACACGUGAACCCACAGCCAACAAACAGCCCUGUGCCACCCACCAGGGGGAGAUGAAAACAGCUCUGAUGACACACUCCUCUAGCUCCUUCCCCGUCUUACCCCUGGGCUCACUUGUCACCAGCUAUUACCAGCUGAAAUGCAUGGUGCCUCUCAGCAGAUUGAACCUUUCUUGUCAUCAGAUUUGUUCAACAGAAAGGAUGUUAAUAUUGCUCACCAUUGACCCAUCUGCAAAAGGGGGGACAGAAUAGUAACUGCAUGUCUGGGUGGCUGAAAGGACUGACAGGAGGAAAUCCAUGCAAAGUGGUGAGCAGAAGGCCUGGCACAGAGUAAAGACGGCAGAGAUGUGAAGAAUGGAGAAAGUCUGGUGCUUUUUUACACACAUAAACAUUUGGAUGCAAAUAGAACCAAUGCCCCUCCCUGAAAAGAUGGGUUUGGCCACUUAAAGAGCUUACCUCUGGGGAAAGGAAGAAAGGGUCUGGAGUGAGAUAUGGUCCCUUUCUCGUUGUUUACUCUGUGAUGGCUAUUUCAUGUGUCAACUAAAGUCAUGGGUAGGCUAUGGUGCCCAGCUGUUUGGUCAAACUCUAGUCUAGAUAUUGCUGUGAAU